CAAUAGCGUAUAUUUAAGUUGUUGCAGUUAAAAAGCUCGUAGUUGGAUUUCGGGUGGGACGCAGCGGUCUCGCAUUGCGUUUGUACUGCUGCAGCCCUCCUUCUUGCCGGGGGCGGCCUCUCGGACUUCACUAUCUGGGGGUCAGAAUCGGCGAUGUUACUUUGAGUAAAUUAGAGUGUUCAAAGCAAGCUUACGCUCUGAAUAUAAUAGCAUGGGAUAACACGACAGGACUCUGGCCUAUCGUGUUGGUCUAUAGGACCAGAGUAAUGAUUAAGAGGGACAGUCGGGGGCAUUCGUAUUCCGUUGUCAGAGGUGAAAUUCUUGGAUUUACGGAAGACGAACAUCUGCGAAAGCAUUUGCCAAGGAUGUUUUCAUUGA
This 378-nucleotide ribosomal RNA is filed under the name uncultured eukaryote. Its description in RNAcentral is "partial 18S ribosomal RNA". It matches the Rfam family "Eukaryotic small subunit ribosomal RNA", at positions 592 to 976 of the family's 1831-position model. The record is from RNAcentral.